UGUCAAUCUUGAGCUUUCUAUUUAGGGUAGGUUGAUUAAGGGAUCGGAGUGCUGCAGUUGAGAUUAAAACCGCUGCUAAUAUUGGCUUUUUAUUUUACCUGUUAUAGCGUUUUAUUUUGUUUUCAAUCGUUGAUAAAGGGGAGUUAAUUUUGUAACAAAUUGUAUUUUUUUAAUUAAAGGAAACUGAAGAUUUCAGGUACAAUGUCUUCAGUCGAAGACAGAGCAAAGGAGAUUCUACAGGGGUUUAAAUUAAACUGGAUGAAUUUGAGAGAUGCAGAGACGGGGAAAGUUCUCUGGCAGGGAACAGAAGAUCUUUCAGUUCCAGGGGUAGAACACGAAGCUCGGGUUCCUAAAAAGAUCCUGAAGUGCAAAGCAGUUUCUAGAGAGUUAAAUUUCUCUUCAACAGAACAAAUGGAAAAAUUCAGACUUGAACAGAAGGUUUUUUUCAAAGGACAGUGCCUAGAAGAUUUACAGAGCAUCACUCCUUGCUUUUUACAUGAAAAAAGCAUUGCAUUCAUUUACAUUGCACGAAUGAAAUGCAUACUGUACAGAUUGCCUCCACUUAUUAGCCCUCCAAUAAUGAGUGGUUCUUUGAAUUUGGCUUCGUGAUUCCUAAUUCCACAAACACAUGGCAGUCUUUGAUAGAAGCAGCACCUGAAUCGCAAAUGAUGCCAGCAAAUGUUUUAACUGGAAAUGUUAUCAUAGAGACCAAGUUCUUCGACGAUGACCUUCUCGUAAGCACUUCCAGGGUUCGACUUUUCUACGUUUGACCAGAUGGUUUUCAUGGAAACCAACAUUUAUUUCUUUUUUUUGAAGACCUGUCUCAUCUGCAAGACUUUCCUGUGCUCAUGUGACCAGCUAUCCAGCUUAGAGUGGACUGACCCGGCACAUUAGAAUUUCUUUAAAGAAAGAUCAUACAAGAACCAAAUGAGCAUAUUAAAAACAAAGAUGGUCAUCGGCUCAAGACUUUUGUAUAUAUGGGCAGCUAUGCUCAUUGUGAUCAACCUUGUAAAUUAUUUUGUUAUUUGUACUAUUUUUCGCCAUUUUUCUGCAGCUUUUGAAUUCUGGCUUGCAAUGUACACUGCUUUUGUAUGUGUGCUAAUAUUCAGAAGAAUUUUUUUUUUUUUUUGUGCUUCCAGUUGCUAUUUUAUUCUGUAAGAUGUGAUACAUUCCUCAGUUGUAACUAAACUGUAAAAUAGUUUAUUACUGAAUGUAAUUAAUUAUUUUAAUGAAUUCAUGGACACUAAAUACAGUGAAGUGCCCCCCCCCCCCCCCCCCGAACUAUUUAUAUUGACAUUGCUUUUUAUUUGUAAUGGGUUUGCUUUUCAUAGAUUGAGAAAAUGUGUUUCUUUUUUAAUUGAGGUACCUGAAUGCAUAUUUCCCAAUGCAUUUAAGGUGCUAUUUAAUAAGUGAUUUUAAUUAUUACAUGUAUUUAAAUUAGACAUGGUUAUCUGUAACUUGGGUGAAAAUGCCCUGUUAAGAAGCUCAAUGACACAGACUUAUUUAAAAAAGAAAGGAUCCUAAAACUGUGGCGCAUCCAUAGAACUGACUUACAGUUCAAUUUGACUGAAAUGUUGAAUUCAUUAAGGAAAAAAAAUGGGUUGCUUGCAUUUAAACUAAAGAUAUUCAAAUAUAGUGAAGUUUGUACAUGUCUUGACAUUGGCAAAUUGGGUUUCCAUCUGUAUGCAUAGCAAUGUAAACAGAAUAAAAGUUAUUUGAUUUCUUAAAA
This is an RNA transcript of Acipenser ruthenus (sterlet), 1729 nucleotides long. It is a transcript of the gene named retinal rod rhodopsin-sensitive cGMP 3',5'-cyclic phosphodiesterase subunit delta, with no coding region annotated. The record is from RefSeq and is a predicted model, not a curated record. NCBI's taxonomy places the organism in Eukaryota, Metazoa, Chordata, Actinopteri, Acipenseriformes, Acipenseridae. The transcript has 6 exons.